AUUGAACGCUGGCGGCAGGCCUAACACAUGCAAGUCGAACGGUAACAGGAAGAAGCUUGCUUCUUUGCUGACGAGUGGCGGACGGGUGAGUAAUGUCUGGGAAACUGCCUGAUGGAGGGGGAUAACUACUGGAAACGGUAGCUAAUACCGCAUAACGUCGCAAGACCAAAGAGGGGGACCUUCGGGCCUCUUGCCAUCGGAUGUGCCCCGAUGGGAUUAGCUAGUAGGUGGGGUAACGGCUCACCCAGGCGACGAUCCCCAGCUGGUCUGAGAGGAGGACCCGCCACACUGGAACCGAGACACGGUCCAGAGUCCCACGGGAGGCAGCGGUGGGGAAUAUUUGACAAUGGGGGCAAGCCUGAGACAGCGCUACCGCGCGGGUGAAGAAGGCCCUCUGGGUUUAAAGCUCUUUUGCUGGGGAAGAAAAGAAGGAGGUUAAAAUCCCGCUGUUCUGACGGGUCCCAGAGAAAAAGCACCGGCUAACUCCGUG
RNAcentral lists this ribosomal RNA (490 nucleotides) under uncultured bacterium. Its description in RNAcentral is "partial 16S ribosomal RNA". It matches the Rfam family "Bacterial small subunit ribosomal RNA", at positions 29 to 507 of the family's 1533-position model. The record is from RNAcentral.